CCUUUGACGUUAGCGGCGGACGGGUGAGUAACACGUGGGUAACCUACCUAUAAGACUGGGAUAACUUCGGGAAACCGGAGCUAAUACCGGAUAAUAUUUCGAACCGCAUGGUUCGAUAGUGAAAGGUGGUUUUGCUAUCACUUAUAGAUGGACCCGCGCCGUAUUAGCUAGUUGGUAAGGUAACGGCUUACCAAGGCGACGAUACGUAGCCGACCUGAGAGGGUGAUCGGCCACACUGGAACUGAGACACGGUCCAGACNCCUACGGGAGGGCGAGCAGUC
RNAcentral lists this ribosomal RNA (281 nucleotides) under uncultured Staphylococcus sp. RNAcentral describes it as "partial 16S ribosomal RNA". It matches the Rfam family "Bacterial small subunit ribosomal RNA", at positions 83 to 348 of the family's 1533-position model. Lineage: Bacteria; Bacillati; Bacillota; Bacilli; Caryophanales; Staphylococcaceae. The record is from RNAcentral.